GGGUAGUUUGACUGGGGCGGUCUCCUCCUAAAGAGUAACGGAGGAGCACGAAGGUUGGCUAAUCCUGGUCGGACAUCAGGAGGUUAGUGCAAUGGCAUAAGCCAGCUUGACUGCGAGCGUGACGGCGCGAGCAGGUGCGAAAGCAGGUCAUAGUGAUCCGGUGGUUCUGAAUGGAAGGGCCAUCGCUCAACGGAUAAAAGGUACUCCGGGGAUAACAGGCUGAUACCGCCCAAGAGUUCAUAUCGACGGCGGUGUUUGGCACCUCGAUGUCGGCUCAUCACAUCCUGGGGCUGAAGUAGGUCCCAAGGGUAUGGCUGUUCGCCAUUUAAAGUGGUACGCGAGCUGGGUUUAGAACGUCGUGAGACAGUUCGGUCCCUAUCUGCCGUGGGCGCUGGAGAACUGAGGGGGGCUGCUCCUAGUACGAGAGGACCGGAGUGGACGCAUCACUGGUGUUCGGGUUGUCAUGCCAAUGGCACUGCCCGGUAGCUAAAUGCGGAAGAGAUAAGUGCUGAAAGCAUCUAAGCACGAAACUUGCCCCGAGAUGAGUUCUCCCUGAGACUUAGAGUCUCCUGAAGGAACGUUGAAGACGACGACGUUGAUAGGCCGGGUGUGUAAGCGCAGCGAUGCGUUGAGCUAACCGGUACUAAUGAACCGUGAGGCUUAACCUUACAAC
Molecule: ribosomal RNA, 673 nt
Filed under: Escherichia coli
Lineage: Bacteria; Pseudomonadati; Pseudomonadota; Gammaproteobacteria; Enterobacterales; Enterobacteriaceae
Description: partial 23S ribosomal RNA
Rfam family: Bacterial large subunit ribosomal RNA
Source: RNAcentral